UACGUAGGGUGCAAGCGUUGUCCGGAAUUAUUGGGCGUAAAGAGCUUGUAGGCGGUUUGUCGCGUCUGCUGUGAAAUUUCGGGGCUCAACCCCGAACUUGCAGUGGGUACGGGCAGACUAGAGUGUGGUAGGGGAGACUGGAAUUCCUGGUGUAGCGGUGAAAUGCGCAGAUAUCAGGAGGAACACCGAUGGCGAAGGCAGGUCUCUGGGCCAGUAACUGACGCUGAGAAGCGAAAGCAUGGGGAGCGAACAGG
RNAcentral lists this ribosomal RNA (254 nucleotides) under uncultured bacterium. RNAcentral describes it as "partial 16S ribosomal RNA". It matches the Rfam family "Bacterial small subunit ribosomal RNA", at positions 524 to 776 of the family's 1533-position model. The record is from RNAcentral.